Molecule: ribosomal RNA, 351 nt
Filed under: uncultured bacterium
Lineage: Bacteria
Description: bacterial SSU rRNA
Rfam family: Bacterial small subunit ribosomal RNA
Source: RNAcentral
GGACCCGCACAAGUAGUGGAGCAUGUGGUUUAAUUCGAAGAUACGCGCAGAACCUUACCAACACUUGACAUGUUCGUCGCGACUCUAAGAGAUUAGAGUUUUCGGUUCGGCCGGACGAAACACAGGUGCUGCAUGGCUGUCGUCAGCUCGUGUCGUGAGAUGUUGGGUUAAGUCCCGCAACGAGCGCAACCCUCACUUUUAGUUGCCAUCAUUAAGUUGGGCACUCUGAAAGAACUGCCAGUGAUAAGCUGGAGGAAGGUGGGGAUGACGCAGACGUCAUGGCCCUUACGUGUUGGGCUACACACGUGCUACAAUGGUCGGUACAGAAAGCAGCCACUAUGCGAAUAGGAG